This 454-nucleotide ribosomal RNA is filed under the name uncultured Porphyromonas sp. RNAcentral's name for it is "partial 16S ribosomal RNA". It matches the Rfam family "Bacterial small subunit ribosomal RNA", at positions 341 to 792 of the family's 1533-position model. The record is from RNAcentral. Lineage: Bacteria; Pseudomonadati; Bacteroidota; Bacteroidia; Bacteroidales; Porphyromonadaceae.
ACGGAAGGCAGCAGUGAGGAAUAUUGGUCAAUGGAGGCAACUCUGAACCAGCCAUCUCGCGUGAAGGAAUACGGCCCUAUGGGUCUUAAACUUCUUUUAUAGGGGGAUAAAGUGAGGCAUGCAUGCCUUUUCGUAGGUACCCUAUGAAUAAGCAUCGGCUAACUCCGUGCCAGCAGCCGCGGUAAUACGGAGGAUGCGAGCGUUAUCCGGAUUUAUUGGGUUUAAAGGGUGCGCAGGCGGCACGUUAAGUCAGCGGUGAAAUGCAGGGGCUCAACCCCGGCACUGCCGUUGAAACUGGCGAGCUCGAGUACGGAUGAAGUCGGCGGAAUGUGAUGUGUAGCGGUGAAAUGCUUAGAUAUGUCACAGAACACCGAUUGCGAAGGCAGCUGACUAAUCCGCAACUGACGCUCAGGCACGAAAGCGUGGGGAUCGAACAGGAUUAGAUACCCUGGUA